UACGGGGGGGGGCAAGUGUUGUUCGGAAUUACUGGGCGUAAAGGGCUCGUAGGCGGCCAACUAAGUCGGAUGUGAAAUCCCCAGGCUUAACCUGGGAACUGCAUCCGAUACUGGAUGGCUUGAAUCCGGGAGAGGGAUGCAGAAUUCCAGGUGUAGCGGUGAAAUGCGUAGAUAUCUGGAGGAAUACCGGUGGCGAAGGCGGCAUCCUGGACCGGCAUUGACGCUGAUGAGCGAAAGCUAGGGGAGCAAACGGG
This 254-nucleotide ribosomal RNA is filed under the name uncultured bacterium. RNAcentral's name for it is "partial 16S ribosomal RNA". It matches the Rfam family "Bacterial small subunit ribosomal RNA", at positions 524 to 776 of the family's 1533-position model. The record is from RNAcentral.